This 2056-nucleotide small RNA is filed under the name Arabidopsis thaliana (thale cress). RNAcentral's name for it is "ATSL087850". The record is from RNAcentral. Lineage: Eukaryota; Viridiplantae; Streptophyta; Magnoliopsida; Brassicales; Brassicaceae.
UUUAUACUUUCGUGGUCGCCCUCACUGAACCGACUUGAAUCUGAACUACGAUUUUGUUCCCCAACUUGCUUGAUUAACGGGCAUUUUCGGGGACUAGCCCGCUUCUUCAUUAAAAAAGAGGGCGAUUGCCCGGUCCUUGGAAUCAUUUUAGAUCGUAUCCCCAAGCCUGCCUCCACUUUCUUAUGUGAAAGAGGUGCUUGCUUUAUGAGACUGAAUGGAAACCUUCUUUCUUCGAUCAGAAUACGAAUAAGAUCAAAAAGGCCAUCAUUGGGGCAAACAAUGCAAUAGCUUCGGUUAGUAAAGGAAUUCCAUCCACUCCGGCUUAGCUUUCAACCGGUCUUUUUAGGUUACGAACGCCUAGUCGACAUAAUGUCUGGCGUUUACCUGAUGGUUCCCCAAGCCCCUGAGCUCAUCAAUGAACGGAUUCCACCUUUCACAGCGAGCUGUUCCGAAGUUGCGCCUGAGCACAGUGAAAUGCCUCUUACGGUCAUCUAUAGCGUGCUCCCAGUCGUCAUGUAGAGCCAACUGGAGAGCACGCUUGACAUCCUCUGGAUCCUCUAGAGUUAUCCCUCGUUGAUGCAGGAGAAUUUGGGCUUUCCGUACCAUGGCCGCCUCCAAAUUCUCGCAGGCGCUCGUGAUAGUCUCUACCUCGGCAGAGAUGCGGUCGUGCUCUUGUGCCCGAGCCUCCCUUUCCCAAGCCUGCUCCUCAGGAAUCGGUUGAUUGACCGACGAGGAGGUACGCCCGGAACUGGCCGAAUCUUCGACCAUAUCGGAUGUAUACGUGAACCAUUCUGAGGAGGAAGAUGCCCCGCCAGGUCCUACGCCAUACCAUAGAAGGGGUUCUAACAGGAGCAAAGCCUGACCACCCAGUAGAUAGACGACUUUGAUCCGGAUCAAAGAUAGCACGAACCCCACUAAGAAGAGAUAGAGAAUCCUCUUCAGCGGUCCUUUCUUACGAAAUCCAAAUAUAAAUACCACUAGCGCACAGAAUGAAACGCACGUAGUGAUCAUUAUAGCGCUUCCUUCUGAUCCUAGAAAACGUCCGAAAAAACCUGCUACGGAACCACCGAGGAGAGGCAAAAAUAGUCGAAGCAUAUCAAUAUUAAUCAUUUUAUAUUUUUUCAUUUUCUUUAAGCUGUUGCACUAAGGUUACUUAAGAAGAUUCCCAGAAUAUUGACUCAUUUACUCUCAGGUGCACUUAAAUAAUUUACGGCGAGCUCUUCCGAGGAAUGCUUACAAUAGAAGUGGUUGUGGAUUCGAACCACUGACAGACGGAUUUUCAGUCCUUCACUCGACCAGAGCUAUUACCUGUCACCACUUUCUUUUCAACUCGUAAAGGUAAAGAAAGGAUCCGCCUCAACUAACUGAUCUAUCAACUUGAUUUCUUCUCUUAUGAGAUUCUUUUUUAGUGAUAGUUAGAGGUCCGAAAAACGAGAGGGAAGAACUCGACUAUUUCUCUGAUUUCCAGCAACAGCUCUUUCUAUCUUUCUGGCUGUUCUACCUACCCAUCUCUUUCCUGGUUACUCGAUAGAUCUUCCCCUGGGAUGGAUCCUGGGCUACUUAAGAUCGGAUCAACUUCCCAUUUGCUUACUAGCACACCCCGGCAUCCUCCCAACUGCGCGCACCUGUUUCCGGCCCUGCCAAGAGAGAUCUUCUUCCUUUGUGCUGCACUGAACACUCUCCGAAUCAUCUUGGCACUCAUCAAACUAUGCUUUUUUUCCUUGCACUAAACACUUUGUUAAUCGUCUGAGCAGCAAACGUACAACUAUCUCUUUGUCCGUCUGUGAACAAGUAGUAUGAGCCAGUUAAGUGAGCGAAGCAACCCUGAGCUCCUCAGCACACUCCUGCUUUCUCCUCAACAUCAACAUUCAAAUGUUGUAACACUUGACUAUAUUUUAAAACCAGAAACACAAUCGAUUCAAAACGAUUAAUCAAUCAAUGAAAAAAGACGAGAAGGGUUGAUCAAUUGUCGGGUUUGGGACUCAUUGAUUCUCCGCUUCAUACGAGGGGAAUCACACUUCAAAUCAAUCAAAUCAACCAAUCCUAUCAAUACAUG